Molecule: non-coding RNA, 21 nt
Filed under: Caenorhabditis elegans
Lineage: Eukaryota; Metazoa; Nematoda; Chromadorea; Rhabditida; Rhabditidae
Source: RNAcentral
UAAAACAACGGGCUAGUUGGC